UACGUAGGGGGCAAGCGUUGUCCGGAUUUAUUGGGCGUAAAGAGCUCGUAGGUGGUUCGGUAAGUCGGAUGUGAAAUCUCCAGGCUCAACCUGGAGGGGUCAUUCGAUACUGCCGUGACUAGAGGUCGGUAGGGGAGUGUGGAAUUCCUGGUGGAGCGGUGAAAUGCGCAGAUAUCAGGAAGAACACCCGUGGCGAAGGCGGUUCUCUGGGACGGUACUGACGCUGAGACGCGAAAGCGUGGGGAGCGAACAGG
This 254-nucleotide ribosomal RNA is filed under the name uncultured bacterium. RNAcentral's name for it is "partial 16S ribosomal RNA". It matches the Rfam family "Bacterial small subunit ribosomal RNA", at positions 524 to 776 of the family's 1533-position model. The record is from RNAcentral.